GAUGAAGAACGUAGCGAAAUGCGAUAAGUAAUGCGAAUUGCAGAAUCCGUGAGUCAUCGAAUCUUUGAACGCACAUUGCGCCCUUUGGUAUUCCGAAGGGCAUGCCUGUUCGAGCGUCAUUAUCACCCCUCAAGCUCCGGCUUGGUGUUGGGCUCCAUAACAUAACUGUUAUGGGCCUCAAAAACAGUGACGGCGUCCCAGAUGGAACCGGUACGAGGAGCUUUUAACCAAGCAUGUACGCGGCGUGAAUCUGUGGGCGGCGGUCUUUAACCACUACUCUUCGGAGUACUUUCUAAGUGUUGACCUCGGAUCAGGUAGGGAUACCCGCUGAACUUAAGCAUAUCAAUAAGCGGAGGA
This 357-nucleotide unclassified non-coding RNA is filed under the name soil metagenome. RNAcentral's name for it is "partial contains 5.8S ribosomal RNA, internal transcribed spacer 2, and large subunit ribosomal RNA". The stretch from base 1 to 119 matches the Rfam family "5.8S ribosomal RNA", at positions 35 to 154 of the family's 154-position model. The record is from RNAcentral.